RNAcentral lists this long non-coding RNA (3428 nucleotides) under Manihot esculenta (cassava). RNAcentral's name for it is "long non-coding RNA (MESC_LNC005360)". The record is from RNAcentral. Lineage: Eukaryota; Viridiplantae; Streptophyta; Magnoliopsida; Malpighiales; Euphorbiaceae.
CUAUGGCACAAGCCUCAAACCCACACGCACAAGUAGAUAUGGAAUCCAAAGAUUUGAUAAACUCACCUCCUAUAGCACCCCAAACUUAGAGAAGCUGAAACACCAAUGAUUGAAGGAUUUAGAUGAGAAUCUGACAAACGCCACAACGAAUAGUUGAUAAGUUAGCCAAGAUUCCUGGUGCAAUUGAUGAAAGCAAAUACUCACUCUCACUCAAAGCAAUACACGCCAAAGGCAUGAAAAGAAUUCUGAAAUAUUUGAUUAAAAGCUGCCUCUUACAAUUGUUUCUUAUCCUUAUAUAGUAAGGAGAAAAACAAAUAAAGCCCUAAGACACUCUUCUUGGGCCUGACUUAAACACAUAAGGCCCAAGCCCAAUCACACACUAAAAUAACACAUAAGUAUUAAAACAUAAGCCCAAAACAUGGCCCAACACUCUAAAACUUAAAAGAUAAAAUAUGGCCAGAAUACAAGCCCAAACAAAGCUAAAAUAAAAUAAGUGUUCAAAUAAUAAAACAUAGCAAGCCCAUCAUAACAAAGCUGAAUCUUCACAAAAACCUUACUUGAUCUUCACUUUAGGCUUCCCUUUGUGUGGUUUUAGCCCAUAGGUUUGAUUAGGCUCUCUAAGCCUAUGAUUGCAAGUAUUGCACCAAAUCUGUCCCAUAUGAGUUGAAGCACGCCCUAAAUAUAUAUGGAUCAUAUGAAUAUGAUUUUGAACUCCUUUUAGAUCCAUUUGAAUGACAUAAGUUUGCUCCACACCAUUGUUAGAAAUUUGCUCUAUUGGAUUCGUAUCAUUCUCUCCUUCUUUAGAAAAGAUUCGUCCUCGAAUCUUGCUGAUAUUUAUAUCAAAAAGGGAAGCUUUAGGAACCCAUGUAUCUUCAAAGACCUCCUUUUGAAUAGGUGGAAAUAGUAUAAAACUUUCGUCAUGAAUGUUUUCGUCAUGAAUGUUUUCAUCAACAACCUGCACAUCAAGAACAAAUGAACUAGGCAUAAAAAUAUUAGUCAUAGAAAGAUCUUAGGGAUAUGACCCAUUCUCCUCUACAACUUCCAAAACAGUCUCAUUCACCUCCUCCACCUCAUCAUUUACAACCUCUUCUAUAAGUUCAUUGAUGGAAUUCUCAGCAACAACUACAUUAGAUUCAUGCAUUACAACUUCCUCUUCAAUUUCAAUCUCUAUGGAAGUUGAGAUUGAAACUUUAGCCUCUUCUUUCUUCUUUUCUUUCUCCACCUUCCCUCCAUGAACUAGUGUUGAUUAUUUUCCAGCCUCUUUACCCUCAGACUCACACUUUUCUCUCAUUUUUACCGCAGAACUCAAGCUCUCACUCUCCUUUGUAGCCAAGGCCGAAGCCUCCCUCUCCCUCUCCAGCAUCUUUAUUUGAUCAGCAUAUACCUCUUGAGGUGAUAAAGGAGCGAGUAUAACCUUCUGUCCUUCAUAAAUAAAGGAAUACUUGUUAUCGAACCCAUCAUGUUGCACCUUUCUAUCAUGUUGCCACGACCUACCCAACAACAUAUGGUUUGCCUGCAUAGGUACCACAUCACACAAUAUCUCAUCCUUGUACCUACCAAUAGAAAAUGGUAUAACCACCUGGCAUGUAACCCUAACCUCACCACAAUCAUUCAACCAUUGCAACCUGUAUGGCUUAGGGUGUUCAAUAGAAGCCAAGCCCAAUUUCUCCACCAUAUACACACUUGCCACAUUUGUGCAACUACCUCCAUCAAUAAUGAGAGUACACACUUUACCAUUAACCAAACACCUAUUGUGAAAUAUGUUUUCCCGUUGUUCUAGGCUUUCUUUCUUAACCUGCAUAUUCAGAGCACGCCUAGCAACAAGCAUCUCAUAAUGUGCAGCAAGCAACACAUUAUUAACCAACACAUCCGAAUCAUCACAGUCAUUAUUGCAAUUAAGAGUUCUUUGAGAUAUUCUUGUAGAAGUGGAAGCUUGUGAGACAUUCAAACUCUCCAUAGUUUCAGUUAACCUCUUAAGAGUCUUAUUGAGCCUUUGUAACUCACUACUGACUGACUUCUUAAAGAUCUUAUAAUCGUUACCCAUAUUCGAUUCACUUCCAUCAGUACGAUCCACCACAUUCUUGUCUUUACUCAUCCUACCUUAAAUCAAUAAAUAACAAAAAGAACUAGCAAAUAUUGUGUUAAAAAAAAGAAAGUACUCAAGUGUUUGCACUCUUACCAUUCUUUUGCUGAUUCUUCAAUUGCACUUCAGAAACUAAGGUCAACCAACUAACCACAAGGUGCGUUUAAUGAAACAAAAAAGAAAACCUAAAGAAAGAAGGAAGCGCGCAAAAACUAGAAAGAAGACACUGACAAUUUGGAAAGUAACACAUGAACUUGGUUUUGUGCUACUUGAAAAAUAUCACCUAGAGUAUAGAUACAAGCAAACAAUACUCCAGCAAUGUAAAGCAAGCAAAAGCAAGCUUAAACCAAAAAAGAAACUUAGAAAUCAAAUAAAAACGAACCUGGACAAAAAAUAUUGCAUUUAAUUCACUUCAACGCAAAUUAAAUAUGGAUCUACUUAAAUCUACCCAAAAAGGAAAGUAUCAAAACCCCACAAAUAGAAUCAGAAAAGAAAAAUGUAAAUUUCUCUCAGAUCAGAAACAUGGACGAAAAUUCUGGUGUUAAAAGAAGGAUUUGACAUCAAAUCAAUUUAGAUGCAAUUGCCCUAAAUGUGCACUUUAGGAAAUAGGAAGAAUUUCUUUUAUCUCCUAAUCUGGAUUCGACCAAAUUCAAAAUUCAAAAUUCAAAAUUCAAAGUAAUUCCCAUAAAUUACUGCAAUUAAUUGAGAUAGGUAAGGCAAUAUAGAUGAAAAAGGAAGCAUAUCACAAUUUCGGCCAGAUCAAGUUAAAUAAGGAAAAGGCGAUUUUUUUUUUUUGGAUUUCGAAUUUUUUUUUUAUGAUUAAUAAUCAAGAAGGUGCAGCCAUGGACACUAAAGCUUUCACAGAAAUCAAUAACGAAGAGAAGGAAAACUCAGAAAAAAAAACUCUAGAUCCUGAGAUAAAUAAGAAUUUACCUCACUUUGGCUUUGAUACCAACUGACGCGGAACCCUAUGGCACAAGCCUCAAACCCACACGCACAAGUAGAUAUGGAAUCCAAAGAUUUGAUAAACUCACCUCCUAUGGCACCCCAAACUUAGAGAAGCUGAAACACCAAUGAUCGAAGGAUUUAGAUGAGAAUCUGACAAAUGCCACAACGAAUAGUUGAUAAGUUAGCCAAGAUUCCUGGUGCAAUUGAUGAAAGCAAAUCCUCACUCUCACUCAAAGCAAUACACGCCAAAUGCAUGAAAAGAAUUCUGAAAUAUUUGAUUAAAAGCUGCCUCUUACAAUUGUUUCUUAUCCUUAUAUAGUAAGGAGAAAAACAAAUAAAACCCCAAGACACUCUUCUUGGGCCUGACUUAAACACAUAAGGCCCAAGCCCAAUCACA